UUGACCUCGGAUCAGGUAGGAAUACCCGCUGAACUUAAGCAUAUCAAUAAGCGGAGGAAAAGAAACCAACAGGGAUUGCCUCAGUAACGGCGAGUGAAGCGGCAACAGCUCAAAUUUGAAAUCUCCUUCGGGCGAGUUGUAAUUUGCAGAGGAUGCUUCGGGCGCGGCGCCUUCCAAGUCCCCUGGAACGGGGCGCCUUAGAGGGUGAGAGCCCCGUACGGUUGGACGCCAAGCCUGUGUGAAGCUCCUUCGACGAGUCGAGUAGUUUGGGAAUGCUGCUCAAAAUGGGAGGUAGACCCCUUCUAAAGCUAAAUACCGGCCAGAGACCGAUAGCGCACAAGUAGAGUGAUCGAAAGAUGAAAAGCACUUUGAAAAGAGGGUUAAAUAGCACGUGAAAUUGUUGAAAGGGAAGCGCUUGUGACCAGACUUGCGCCGGGGCGAUCAUCUAGCGUUCUCGCUGGUGCACUCGCCCCGGUUCAGGCCAGCGUCGAUUCGGAGGGGGGGACAAAGACGCCGGGAACGUGGCUCCUCGGAGUGUUAUAGCCCGGCGUGCAAUGCCCCCGUCUGGAUCGAGGUUCGCGCUCUGCAAGGACGCUGGCAUAAUGGUCAUCAGCGACCCGUCUUGAAACACGGACCAAGGAGUCGAGGUUCUGCGCGAGUGUUUGGGUGUCAAACCCGCACGCGUAAUGAAAGUGAACGUAGGUGAGAGCUUCGGCGCACCACCGACCGAUCCUGAUGUUCUCGGAUGGAUUUGAGUAAGAGCGUUGGGCCUCGGACCCGAAAGAUGGUGAACUAUGCUUGGAUAGGGUGAAGCCAGAGGAAACUCUGGUGGAGGCUCGCAGCGGUUCUGACGUGCAAAUCGAUCGUCAAAUCUGAGCAUGGGGGCGAAAGACUAAUCGAACCAUCUAGUAGCUGGUUACCGCCGAAGUUUCCCUCAGGAUAGCAGUGUUGUCUUCAGUUUUAUGAGGUAAAGCGAAUGAUUAGGGACUCGGGGGCGCUAUAUUGCCUUCAUCCAUUCUCAAACUUUAAAUAUGUAAGAAGCCCUUGUUGCUUAAUUGAACGUGGGCAUUCGAAUGCAUCAACACUAGUGGGCCAUUUUUGGUAAGCAGAACUGGCGAUGUGGGAUGAACCAUACGCGAGGUUAAGGUGCCGGAGUGGACGCUCAUCAGACACCA
RNAcentral lists this ribosomal RNA (1175 nucleotides) under Dictyochaeta callimorpha. Its description in RNAcentral is "partial 28S ribosomal RNA". It matches the Rfam family "Eukaryotic large subunit ribosomal RNA", at positions 1 to 1214 of the family's 3401-position model. The record is from RNAcentral. Lineage: Eukaryota; Fungi; Ascomycota; Sordariomycetes; Chaetosphaeriales; Chaetosphaeriaceae.